CAUGGUUCUGAUAUCAAAGAUUUUAUCGCUUGAAGAUGGACUCGCGUCCGAUUAGUUAGUUGGUGAGGUAACGGCUCACCAAGACCGCGAUCGGUAGCCGGACUGAGAGGUUGAACGGCCACAUUGGGACUGAGACACGGCCCAGACUCCUACGGGAGGCAGCAGUGGGGGAUAUUGCGCAAUGGGGGCAACCCUGACGCAGCAACGCCGCGUGAAGGAUGAAGGUUUUCGGAUUGUAAACUUCUUUUAUUAAGGACGAAAAAUGACGGUACUUAAUGAAUAAGCUCCGGCUAACUACGUGCCAGCAGCCGCGGUAAUACGUAGGGAGCAAGCGUUGUCCGGAUUUACUGGGUGUAAAGGGUGCGUAGGCGGCUUUGCAAGUCAGAUGUGAAAUCUAUGGGCUCAACCCAUAAACUGCAUUUGAAACUGUAGAGCUUGAGUGAAGUAGAGGCAGGCGGAAUUCCCCGUGUAGCGGUGAAAUGCGUAGAGAUGGGGAGGAACACCAGUGGCGAAGGCGGCCUGCUGGGCUUUAACUGACGCUGAGGCACGAAAGCGUGGGUAGCAAACAGGAUUAGAUACCCUGGUAGUCCACGCUGU
RNAcentral lists this ribosomal RNA (597 nucleotides) under uncultured bacterium. RNAcentral's name for it is "bacterial SSU rRNA". It matches the Rfam family "Bacterial small subunit ribosomal RNA", at positions 188 to 803 of the family's 1533-position model. The record is from RNAcentral.